GGUCAAUUUCCUGUCCUCAACCUUAAAGCAACCUCUGAAAAUAACCCACUCAUUUCCGAGACCCACCUAAAAAUCACCUCAGUUUUGACAAGAUAUUUAAUGUCACACUUUUUUAUAAAUUAAUGUGGUAAGAAAAGAGUUGAUUUCUCCAUGUGUCAAGAGAAAGACAAAAUUUUUCUGCUAAUUAUGAUGGCACACUGUGAAUAGGAAAUAAAGUAAUACUGUACCUCUGUCCACAGAAGGAAAGUAUUCACGAGAAAAAACAAAACUAAAACCCUGCAC
Molecule: long non-coding RNA, 282 nt
Filed under: Bos taurus (domestic cattle)
Lineage: Eukaryota; Metazoa; Chordata; Mammalia; Artiodactyla; Bovidae
Description: long non-coding RNA NONBTAT025020
Source: RNAcentral